Molecule: ribosomal RNA, 938 nt
Filed under: uncultured bacterium
Lineage: Bacteria
Description: bacterial SSU rRNA
Rfam family: Bacterial small subunit ribosomal RNA
Source: RNAcentral
AGAGUUUGAUCAUGGCUCAGAUUGAACGCUGGCGGCAGGCCUAACACAUGCAAGUCGAACGGUAGCACAGAGAGCUUGCUCUCGGGUGACGAGUGGCGGACGGGUGAGUAAUGUCUGGGAAACUGCCUGAUGGAGGGGGAUAACUACUGGAAACGGUAGCUAAUACCGCAUAAUGUCGCAAGACCAAAGAGGGGGACCUUCGGGCCUCUUGCCAUCAGAUGUGCCCAGAUGGGAUUAGCUAGUAGGUGGGGUAAUGGCUCACCUAGGCGACGAUCCCUAGCUGGUCUGAGAGGAUGACCAGCCACACUGGAACUGAGACACGGUCCAGACUCCUACGGGAGGCAGCAGUGGGGAAUAUUGCACAAUGGGCGCAAGCCUGAUGCAGCCAUGCCGCGUGUAUGAAGAAGGCCUUCGGGUUGUAAAGUACUUUCAGCGAGGAGGAAGGCAUUAAGGUUAAUAACCUUGGUGAUUGACGUUACUCGCAGAAGAAGCACCGGCUAACUCCGUGCCAGCAGCCGCGGUAAUACGGAGGGUGCAAGCGCUAAUCGGAAUUACUGGGCGUAAAGCGCACGCAGGCGGUCUGUCAAGCCGGAUGUGAAAUCCCCGGGCUCAACCUGGGAACUGCAUUCGAAACUGGCAGGCUAGAGUCUUGUAGAGGGGGGUAGAAUUCCAGGUGUAGCGGUGAAAUGCGUAGAGAUCUGGAGGAAUACCGGUGGCGAAGGCGGCCCCCUGGACAAAGACUGACGCUCAGGUGCGAAAGCGUGGGGAGCAAACAGGAUUAGAUACCCUGGUAGUCCACGCCGUAAACGAUGUCGACUUGGAGGUUGUUCCCUUGAGGAGUGCUUCCGGAGCUAACGCGUUAAGUCGACCGCCUGGGGAGUACGGCCGCAAGGUUAAAACUCAAAUGAAUUGACGGGGGCCCGCACAAGCGGUGGAGC